This 736-nucleotide ribosomal RNA is filed under the name uncultured bacterium. RNAcentral describes it as "bacterial SSU rRNA". It matches the Rfam family "Bacterial small subunit ribosomal RNA", at positions 42 to 789 of the family's 1533-position model. The record is from RNAcentral.
GCGUGCCUAACACAUGCAAGUCGAACGAGAACGGAUAUAAGUUUACUUAUAUUGUCAGCUAAGUGGCGCACGGGUGAGUAAUAUAUAGUUAAUCUGCCCCAAAGAAGAGAAUAAUUGUUGGAAACGACUUGUAAUGCUCUAUAUGCCUUUAUCACAUAAGUGAGCAAGGGAAAUAUUUAUAGCUUUGGGAUGAGACUGUACGGUAUCAGCUAGUUGGUGAGGUAAUGGCUCACCAAGGCUAUGACAUCUAACUGGUUUGAGAGGAUGAUCAGUCACACUGGAACUGAGACACGGUCCAGACUCCUACGGGAGGCAGCAGUGGGGAAUAUUGCACAAUGGAGGAAACUCUGAUGCAGCAACGCCGCGUGGAGGAUGACACAUUUCGGUGCGUAAACUCCUUUUAUUAGGGAAGAUAAUGACGGUACCUAAUGAAUAAGCACCGGCUAACUCCGUGCCAGCAGCCGCGGUAAUACGGGGGGUGCAAGCGUUACUCGGAAUCACUGGGCGUAAAGAGCAUGUAGGCUGUAGAUUAAGUUGGAAGUGAAAUCCUAUGGCUCAACCAUAGAACUGCUUCCAAAACUGAUUUGCUAGAGUAUGGGAGAGGUAGAUGGAAUUUCUGGUGUAGGGGUAAAAUCCGUAGAGAUCAGAAGGAAUACCGAUUGCGAAGGCGAUCUACUGGAACAUUACUGACGCUGAGAUGCGAAAGCGUGGGGAGCAAACAGGAUUAGAUACCCUG